Long non-coding RNA from Oncorhynchus keta (chum salmon), 1146 nucleotides. RefSeq lists it as uncharacterized. The record is from RefSeq and is a predicted model, not a curated record. The transcript has 2 exons. Lineage: Eukaryota; Metazoa; Chordata; Actinopteri; Salmoniformes; Salmonidae.
UAUUGUUCUACAACUGUCAGGCGGUGGGUAACUGGUGCAGUGAAUCAGGCGCAGGAGAGCAGAAAGGACUGUACAAGGUAUUUAAUUCCACGACAGCACCAGUAUACAGAAAAUACUCAAGGUGCGGCGAAAUACCGGUCACUCGAAAAUAACGGGCGUAAAUACAUAACCCGGCAAACAUAACCAGCCGACAAGUACCGACAUGAACAAUCAAUUAACACGCACACUAACAUGUGGAAAACAGAGGGUAAAUAAUGAACAUGUAAUUGGGGAAUUGAAACCAGGUGUGUAGAAAACAACAAAAACAAAUGGAAAAUUAAAAAUGGAUCAGCGAUGGCUGGAAGACCGGUGACGUCGACCGCCGAACGCCGCCCGAACAAGGAGAGGGACCGACUUCCGCGGAAGUCGUGACAACAACCUAGAAAAAUCAAAACCCUUGAUUAAGUAGGAUAGCCUGGUUUACUGCACGACUGUCGGUGCAUCGAGAACCCAGCGUUCUUACUGACGUGGUGAUGUCAUAUUAGUACACGACAGAUGGUUCCUCUCGAGUCCUGCAUAAUGUCCCUCAGGGGUCCAUCUGCACACUUUGCACUAUGUAAAUGAGUAGCCUAUGCGCAAUUACGUGCAGAAUAUGCAUUGUGAACACUUUGUUGAACUAACCACAACGAAGGUUGUUAAAGCUGCAUUAAGUUAAUGGACAGUGCUGUGUUGUUUGCCAAAGUCCCAUCAAUUCACGAAAGUGUCUGAUAUUGCAUUCGUUUGUGGGAAAAGUGUAUGUUUAUUGUCUUAGCGAAAGCACAGCUGGCCUAGAGAAUGGUUGUAUUGUGUUUUAAAAUGAGCUAGAAUUGAAUAGAAAAACGCAAUUGUUAACACAAUUUGGAAAACAUGUCUCUGUAUAUCUUUUUGAGGGGUAUGGAAUGCAUUUACAGUAUUUCAUUCUAUUCUACCAAUUGCCAAGUGGCACACAGUAACAGUUGAUGAAAAGGCCAAGCCUAAUAGUUGUAAUAUGCACUGUUGCAUUUAUGCACUGACUCUGCGAAUGGGAAUAUUUAUAUUUCAUUAUAUUUACUCGUCAAAGCUCCCAGAGCUAUUAUAGUUUGGAGAAAAAAAAAUGUUGAUGGGUGGAUCAGAAUUUAUGAUAUUGUU